AAACUUUGCAAUGUGCGAAAGCACGACAAGGUUAAUCCGAGUGAUUUCUGCUAAAGAAAUCUUUUGCAAGUCAUAAAACCACUAGUGAAUAAGGGGUGGGCAAGUUCUGGUGUCAGCCGCCGCGGUAAAACCAGCACCUCAAGUGGUCAGGAGGAUUAUUGGGCCUAAAGCAUCCGUAGCCGGCUCUGUAAGUUUUCGGUUAAAUCCAUGUGCUCAACGCAUGGGCUGCCGAAAAUACUGCAUAGCUAGGGAGUGGGAGAGGUAGACGGUACUCGGUAGGAAGGGGUAAAAUCCUUUGAUCUAUCGAUGACCACCUGUGGCGAAGGCGGUCUACCAGAACACGUUCGACGGUGAGGGAUGAAAGCUGGGGGAGCAAACCGGAUUAGAUACCCGGGUAGUCCCAGCUGUAAACGAUGCAGACUCGAUGAUGCAUUGGCAUAUAGCCAGUGCAGUGUCGCAGGGAAGCCGUUAAGUCUGCCGCCUGGGAAGUACGUACGCAAGUAUGAAACUUAA
Molecule: ribosomal RNA, 513 nt
Filed under: uncultured archaeon
Lineage: Archaea
Description: bacterial SSU rRNA
Rfam family: Archaeal small subunit ribosomal RNA
Source: RNAcentral